This is a long non-coding RNA of Zingiber officinale, 1625 nucleotides long. RefSeq lists it as uncharacterized. The transcript is spliced from 2 exons. The record is from RefSeq and is a predicted model, not a curated record. Lineage: Eukaryota; Viridiplantae; Streptophyta; Magnoliopsida; Zingiberales; Zingiberaceae.
CACAUCCUCCCACGCGCAUCAAAGCCUCACGCUGAAAACAGAAAACCCUCACCCACCGAAACCUAAACUAGCAAUCUGACCUCCUAACUCGCGAUCUCGCCGAAACCACCAACCCUAAGCUCCACCUUCGUCUCCGUCAACUUCUCGAUCCCAACACGAGCGCAGGAGGAGGAGAACCAAUGUUUCCAUCCCCCUUCCUCAUUCGUCUCCUUCCUUGCCCGUCUUUGGGUACAAGUAAGCAAUUGAGCACAAGCUGCCUCCUUGGUAGGUUUCAGGAUCAGCUCCCCCUUUGGGCGUGCAUGUUUUUUUUAGGGCAAGAGGGAGGUGUACAUGAGAGUAGAAGAUUAUGGAGUUCUGGACGGAGUUCUUGGCGAAUAGUUUGGGGGGCAUCAAUGACAUGGUCGGGGUCCCCUUCAACUAUCCACUCGACACGCUCCGUAUCUGCCUACAACAGCCACCGCCGACUCCUACUUCCUAGAAUUCCUUCGCCCUUGCCCGAUGAUCCCUCUCGGUCGUCGACCUCCUUCGUAGCCUCGUCGCUCGGGAGGGCCUCACCAUGCUCUACCACGACAUGGUUGUAAUGCUCACCUCCGUUAGCUUUCAGGUACCCGUCCUCCCCUUUCUUUGAUUAGCUUCAAGGGAACUAGAUCGAAUGAAGCUCAAAUCCAAGUAAGCAGUCCCUUCUCUUAGCUUAUCAAAUCAUUGAAAGCCAUGGAAGAAUAGUGAGGAAGAAAAUCGAUGAGGAGCUCAAGAAGUUUGAUGAAAAGUGAGAUUAUUUUCUUUCUUAUUACUCUUUACUCUUUAAUAUUUGAUUUUUCUUCUUCUAGUGUUUUUCUACUAAUUGUACCUUGAUGGGAUUUUUUUUAGAUGUUUUAACUUUAUCCUUGAGUGAUAUGUUAUAUGAUUUGGGGAACAAUGACCAGAUCUAUAUUAGUUUGAUGAUAUUUAGUGUCAGAAAAUAAGUAGAAGAAUUUUUAACUCAAGCAAGAGAAGCUAAAAUCAUAGUUUGCAGACAAACAUGAAUGAGAUUAAAUGUAGCCAGCCGUUUCUAGCAGUAAAAUAUCAUUUCAUCUCAUCCAAUUUCUGUCUAACCAUUCUUUAUGGCUUGACUAAUGUUACAUACCUCUUGAGAUGUUUAUCUAGAUUUUUUUACUAUUAAUACUGAAAUAUAAAUAUUUGAGACAUUAUUUUCUAUUUGAGUUUUAUUACUUGAAAAAGAAAGCUAAGAGAAAUUGAAAAAUAUAUGGUGCAUCAAGAAAAUAUCAAAUAUCAUUUAUUCCUUCAUUUAAUUAUAUGCAAUGUUAUGUCAUCACUAAUAUUCAAAUUAAUAAAAUAAAUUUUAUUAAAUUGUCUAGUAUUUUAUUAGCUCGGGUGGUCCAUGAGCGGUUUGCGUUUGCCAAAAGGGUUCUGGGAAUUAAGAGGAAGAUGUUUGCUAAGAAGUGUUAUGUCGAGAAGGCUUUGAUGAAGAAGACAUAAGCUUCCUAUACAUCUCUCUAGUUUCUGAGUUCUUACUGAUGUAUCCAUGUUGUUAUUGUCUUUCCCAUUUUUAAUCAGUUCAUAAUCGUGUGGUGCGGUCGAAAUAAUAGGCCAAUUUUAGUGGUUAGCAACAAUGAAGUUUUUUAUUU